This 2891-nucleotide ribosomal RNA is filed under the name Pseudomonas sp. B21-056. Its description in RNAcentral is "23S ribosomal RNA". It matches the Rfam family "Bacterial large subunit ribosomal RNA". The record is from RNAcentral. Lineage: Bacteria; Pseudomonadati; Pseudomonadota; Gammaproteobacteria; Pseudomonadales; Pseudomonadaceae.
GGUCAAGUGAAGAAGCGCAUACGGUGGAUGCCUUGGCAGUCAGAGGCGAUGAAAGACGUGGUAGCCUGCGAAAAGCUUCGGGGAGUCGGCAAACAGACUGUGAUCCGGAGAUGUCUGAAUGGGGGAACCCAGCCAUCACAAGAUGGUUAUCUUGUACUGAAUACAUAGGUGCAAGAGGCGAACCAGGGGAACUGAAACAUCUAAGUACCCUGAGGAAAAGAAAUCAACCGAGAUUCCCUUAGUAGUGGCGAGCGAACGGGGACUAGCCCUUAAGCUUCUUUGAUUUUAGCGGAACGCUCUGGAAAGUGCGGCCAUAGUGGGUGAUAGCCCUGUACGCGAAAGAUCUUAGCAGUGAAAUCGAGUAGGACGGAGCACGAGAAACUUUGUCUGAAUAUGGGGGGACCAUCCUCCAAGGCUAAAUACUACUGACUGACCGAUAGUGAACCAGUACCGUGAGGGAAAGGCGAAAAGAACCCCGGAGAGGGGAGUGAAAUAGAUCCUGAAACCGUAUGCGUACAAGCAGUGGGAGCCCACUUUGUUGGGUGACUGCGUACCUUUUGUAUAAUGGGUCAGCGACUUAUUUUCAGUGGCGAGCUUAACCGAAUAGGGGAGGCGUAGCGAAAGCGAGUCUUAAUAGGGCGUCUAGUCGCUGGGAAUAGACCCGAAACCGGGCGAUCUAUCCAUGGGCAGGUUGAAGGUUAGGUAACACUGACUGGAGGACCGAACCGACUACCGUUGAAAAGUUAGCGGAUGACCUGUGGAUCGGAGUGAAAGGCUAAUCAAGCUCGGAGAUAGCUGGUUCUCCUCGAAAGCUAUUUAGGUAGCGCCUCAUGUAUCACUGUAGGGGGUAGAGCACUGUUUCGGCUAGGGGGUCAUCCCGACUUACCAAACCGAUGCAAACUCCGAAUACCUACAAGUGCCGAGCAUGGGAGACACACGGCGGGUGCUAACGUCCGUCGUGAAAAGGGAAACAACCCAGACCGUCAGCUAAGGUCCCAAAGUUAUGGUUAAGUGGGAAACGAUGUGGGAAGGCUUAGACAGCUAGGAGGUUGGCUUAGAAGCAGCCACCCUUUAAAGAAAGCGUAAUAGCUCACUAGUCGAGUCGGCCUGCGCGGAAGAUGUAACGGGGCUCAAACCAUACACCGAAGCUACGGGUAUCACGUAAGUGAUGCGGUAGAGGAGCGUUCUGUAAGCCUGUGAAGGUGAGUUGAGAAGCUUGCUGGAGGUAUCAGAAGUGCGAAUGCUGACAUGAGUAACGACAAUGGGUGUGAAAAACACCCACGCCGAAAGACCAAGGUUUCCUGCGCAACGUUAAUCGACGCAGGGUUAGUCGGUCCCUAAGGCGAGGCUGAAAAGCGUAGUCGAUGGAAAACAGGUUAAUAUUCCUGUACUUCUGGUUAUUGCGAUGGAGGGACGGAGAAGGCUAGGCCAGCUUGGCGUUGGUUGUCCAAGUUUAAGGUGGUAGGCUGGAAUCUUAGGUAAAUCCGGGAUUCCAAGGCCGAGAGCUGAUGACGAGUUACCCUCUGGGUGACGAAGUGGUUGAUGCCAUGCUUCCAAGAAAAGCUUCUAAGCUUCAGGUAACCAGGAACCGUACCCCAAACCGACACAGGUGGUUGGGUAGAGAAUACCAAGGCGCUUGAGAGAACUCGGGUGAAGGAACUAGGCAAAAUGGCACCGUAACUUCGGGAGAAGGUGCGCCGGUGAGGGUGAAGCACUUGCUGCGUAAGCCCACGCCGGUCGAAGAUACCAGGCCGCUGCGACUGUUUAUUAAAAACACAGCACUCUGCAAACACGAAAGUGGACGUAUAGGGUGUGACGCCUGCCCGGUGCCGGAAGGUUAAUUGAUGGGGUUAGCUAACGCGAAGCUCUUGAUCGAAGCCCCGGUAAACGGCGGCCGUAACUAUAACGGUCCUAAGGUAGCGAAAUUCCUUGUCGGGUAAGUUCCGACCUGCACGAAUGGCGUAACGAUGGCGGCGCUGUCUCCACCCGAGACUCAGUGAAAUUGAAAUCGCUGUGAAGAUGCAGUGUAUCCGCGGCUAGACGGAAAGACCCCGUGAACCUUUACUAUAGCUUUGCACUGGACUUUGAAUUUGCUUGUGUAGGAUAGGUGGGAGGCUUUGAAGCGUGGACGCCAGUCUGCGUGGAGCCAUCCUUGAAAUACCACCCUGGCAACUUUGAGGUUCUAACUCAGGUCCGUUAUCCGGAUCGAGGACAGUGUAUGGUGGGUAGUUUGACUGGGGCGGUCUCCUCCUAAAGAGUAACGGAGGAGUACGAAGGUGCGCUCAGACCGGUCGGAAAUCGGUCGUAGAGUAUAAAGGCAAAAGCGCGCUUGACUGCGAGACAGACACGUCGAGCAGGUACGAAAGUAGGUCUUAGUGAUCCGGUGGUUCUGUAUGGAAGGGCCAUCGCUCAACGGAUAAAAGGUACUCCGGGGAUAACAGGCUGAUACCGCCCAAGAGUUCAUAUCGACGGCGGUGUUUGGCACCUCGAUGUCGGCUCAUCACAUCCUGGGGCUGAAGCCGGUCCCAAGGGUAUGGCUGUUCGCCAUUUAAAGUGGUACGCGAGCUGGGUUUAGAACGUCGUGAGACAGUUCGGUCCCUAUCUGCCGUGGACGUUUGAGAUUUGAGAGGGGCUGCUCCUAGUACGAGAGGACCGGAGUGGACGAACCUCUGGUGUUCCGGUUGUCACGCCAGUGGCAUUGCCGGGUAGCUAUGUUCGGAAAAGAUAACCGCUGAAAGCAUCUAAGCGGGAAACUUGCCUCAAGAUGAGAUCUCACUGGAGCCUUGAGCUCCCUGAAGGGCCGUCGAAGACUACGACGUUGAUAGGCAGGGUGUGUAAGCGCUGUGAGGCGUUGAGCUAACCUGUACUAAUUGCCCGUGAGGCUUGACCAU